AGUGAACGCUGGCGGUAGGCCUAACACAUGCAAGUCGAACGGCAGCACAGUAAGAGCUUGCUCUUACGGGUGGCGAGUGGCGGACGGGUGAGGAAUACAUCGGAAUCUACUUUUUCGUGGGGGAUAACGUAGGGAAACUUACGCUAAUACCGCAUACGACCUACGGGUGAAAGCAGGGGAUCUUCGGACCUUGCGCGAUUGAAUGAGCCGAUGUCGGAUUAGCUAGUUGGCGGGGUAAAGGCCCACCAAGGCGACGAUCCGUAGCUGGUCUGAGAGGAUGAUCAGCCACACUGGAACUGAGACACGGUCCAGACUCCUACGGGAGGCAGCAGUGGGGAAUAUUGGACAAUGGGCGCAAGCCUGAUCCAGCCAUACCGCGUGGGUGAAGAAGGCCUUCGGGUUGUAAAGCCCUUUUGUUGGGAAAGAAAAGCGGCAGGUUAAUACCCCGCUGUUCUGACGUUACCCAAAGAAUAAGCACCGGCUAACUUCGUG
RNAcentral lists this ribosomal RNA (492 nucleotides) under uncultured bacterium. Its description in RNAcentral is "partial 16S ribosomal RNA". It matches the Rfam family "Bacterial small subunit ribosomal RNA", at positions 29 to 507 of the family's 1533-position model. The record is from RNAcentral.